UUGCUCUGAUACAAGAAAUUGAAGGUGCUUCUUUUACCCUAUCUGCUUAUUAAAAUAAAAAAACCAAAUUAAUUUAGUUUUGAAAACAUGGAAAAAAAUAAAUUAAUUUAAUUUUCUAGAAAAAAAAAAUGUAAAAACUAAAAUCAUAUCAUUCACUUCCUUCACCAUAACAAAAGUCGAAAUAUGCUCCUUCCCUUCGCCAUUGAAGUGUAAGAAUGGUCUCCAAGCUCCUUCCUUUCACUCUACUCUCUCUCUAUCCGCAACCAAACAACUCCUUCGUCUCUUCCUCUACUCAAUUUCAAGUUUUACUUGUUCUGUUUUAUUGU
This 326-nucleotide unclassified non-coding RNA is filed under the name Hevea brasiliensis (rubber tree). The record is from RNAcentral. Lineage: Eukaryota; Viridiplantae; Streptophyta; Magnoliopsida; Malpighiales; Euphorbiaceae.